CUUUUAAUCUUCAGUAUAUAACCUUAUGUUGUGAGUGCCGUAAAACUAAACGAUACCUGUUUUUCAGUUUUACUCUCAUAAUUGUUACAAUUUAAGGCAUGAUGUGGGGGAAGGCCAUGGUCAAAUGACGUCAUUUUUUAGUCUCAGAUCAAAAUUGGGCUUUUAACGGAUUCGAGUACUUUGAAAUAUCUACUUUCCCAAAAUGAAGGUCUUACGUCUCUAUCAAUAGGAGAACAUGUUCAAAAACACUCACAAAGAUGGCACCCCCUUUCCUCUAAGUGAAAAAAACCCGCAAUUUUUUGCCCUAAAAAACGUCCUUUUUAUGAAAUGGGCAUAAAGCUCUCCACACGCUCAGAAAUCAGUCAUGUUAUACAUAAUUUUGAAGACUGUGAUCUCUAAUUUCGCAAAAUGGCGAUUCAAAGGCAGUUCGGACUUGAUCAUUGAUAAAUAAGUUGCAAGUAAUAUGGCUGUUUCCAUUAUUAUUUAGCUGAGAAUGAUAUGUCGUCAUGAUAUAUGCAACUAGAUUACUGCGCACGUGCAUGUGCAGUUUAAAUCAUGUUUAACUAAGUUCAAAUCCAAGUUAAUCAACCUUUUGUGAAUGAGCUCCCCUUACAGUGCAUGAGCACUUGAACUUGCCAGAACUGGUCAAAUACCGAAGAUGUCGGCCAAAGCCCACUCUCAUGGCGUCGAAAUGGGGAUCGUCCCCCCGCGUCAUACGGCCCUUAACGAGAGCUCGGUAAGAGAUUCCGAAUUUCCGCAUAAAUCAGGAAAUCCAAUUCCUGAAAAAGUCAGAAUUUUGCCCGACUGGCCGAUCGUUGAGAAUCUGUUGCACAUUUUUUUAAAAAAACAGUCUUGACAAGAGAUAUAUGAGAAAAGUGUUUCGUAAAUUUUAAGCCCCCGUGCACUUGAUUUCCCGGAAUCGGAAGAGUUCAGGACUUUUUUGGGGGGAAGCCAGUUAGCACAACUGCUCGAUACAGCCGAUCUACGUUAAAUUCUCUAGCCUUGACUAGGGCGAUGGCGCAAAAAAAACAACUACUCAGACAGAAAACACCAUAUUUUCGUUUUACGGUGACAAACAUCUUGUGCAGGAAGCCACGUAUUCCGAUUCAUUCUCGCCGCCGCCAGCCAACUCUUCAGUUUUCGCCCUCGACAGUGCUGUGUAGGGUCGAAGAAACCAAAUGCAAGGAAGGCCUUUUCAAUAUUGGCAGUAUACGAAAGUCUGACCCAGCGAUCGUAACCCAACAGUAAACCCAUCCCCACAAGCCAUUGUCUCCACUCACUGACCUGCCAAAAACCGUCCCACACGACACGCCCUAGUUUGGGCGAGCCUUGAAGUCUCCCACAAGUAUCUGAAUAGGGUUGUACCAUGAAUGCAGGAAAGUUACGGAGAACUUCCGUUCUAACUUAUUCUAAGUACGUAUUUUAGUAUUCGUUUGUUAAUACAAAAGACAGCGGGUUGAACAGAGUUCUUGAAUAUCAUGCACGAAAAAUCUUGAACAGUGUGCAGAUAAACAUUGUACGAAAACGACCGAACAAGUUCUGUAUCGUCGUUGUAAACUUGGAGGGUUCAAUGGUGGAAGAAAAGGACUAGAAAAAAAAAACCCAACCAGCUGGGGACUUAGACCAACCUUCCCUGAGCCUGAGAGACAACAGGGUCGACAUUGAUGAACAACCGAAUGCUGAGAGUGAGACACCAGCGUGGAUGGAAACCUCCUAACCGCCUCCUUCAAUGACAUUUGCUGAUGCUGAUGUUGGCGUCUAAUCAACGAGAUGAGAGUGCUGUUUCGGCACUACCCCAGUUUCAACAGUUAUUGAGCUCAGAAAAUGCUUUUUGAACACCUUUCCAAAAUACUUUGAUGCCCUAGCCUCAAUUUCUCAGGAUUACCACAGCCUACUGCAAUGGCAUCGACAUUCUUGAGCACAUCACACGACAGUUCGAACAUUGAUAGGCACUAGAGGUGUAGGUAUAGGGAGGAACAUAUCGUGAGAGUGAUAGUGAAGAGGAAACUUUAGAUGAGGAUGAACUUGCUCCUCACCCCAUUGCCAAAAAUAAAGUUUCACCAAUGAAGAAAGAUACAGAAGUAGAUAAUGACGGACAUGCGCUUUUUUAUUUUGCCUUUGAGAAUCCACCAUCAAAUAAAGUGCCAGCAAAAUUUACAAGGAAGUGCAAAAUCUAUGGAGGAUGAAACAAUAUUUGCAAAACCAGCGCAACACUGAGGUUUAGUAUACAGCAGGAUGCGCUGCAACGGAGAUGCCCAAUCUCAUCUGAUGCGCAAAUUUUUAUGGCAUUUAUGACUUUGAAAUUGUAAAAGAUGACUAUAUAAAUCGCUUUAGCAAAAGUAUGUUCUUGUUCUUAUAAGAGUUUUACGGCACUUGCAACACAAUAAGGUCAUAUAAGUGCCGAAGAUUAGAGAUGUUACAAGAGAGUAACAAACAUUAAAAAGAAGGAGGGGAGAUAGGGAUGAUAGAUUUUUUAUAGGAAAGAAGGAGCAAACCACACCAGAGCACCUGCCAAACACCCACAAAAGUAUGUUCAACGCCCUUCAGAGCUUCCAAAACACCAACAACGAAUACCUGAACAGAAAACCCA
Aplysia californica (California sea hare) is the source of this 2590-nucleotide long non-coding RNA. RefSeq lists it as uncharacterized. The record is from RefSeq and is a predicted model, not a curated record. Lineage: Eukaryota; Metazoa; Mollusca; Gastropoda; Aplysiida; Aplysiidae. The transcript has 2 exons.